ACAAAGUUCGAAGAAGAACAUUGCUCAUCUGCUGUCUGUUUGGCUUUAACAACUCCAAAGACAUGUUGCUUUACCUGUUUUUACUUUUCUCUCCCUUUAUAGCCCUGGGUUCCAUGAACAGCAUAAAGCCAGAAAGUACUGAAGAACAUUUUGCAGAGGGCAGAAACAUCAACCUGACCUGUACAUAUGAGGGUGAUAUCAACAAUAUCCAGUGGUACCGACAAUACCAGAGAUCCAGACCAGAGUUCCUGAUCUCCAUCACAGAGGGAGGAUUGAUUCAUCCAACUGGUUCUGAUUUCUCAGCUCACAUUGACAAGAAA
This is a long non-coding RNA of Sander lucioperca (pikeperch), 320 nucleotides long. RefSeq lists it as uncharacterized. Lineage: Eukaryota; Metazoa; Chordata; Actinopteri; Perciformes; Percidae. The transcript is spliced from 2 exons. The record is from RefSeq and is a predicted model, not a curated record.